Molecule: ribosomal RNA, 419 nt
Filed under: bacterium
Lineage: Bacteria
Description: partial 16S ribosomal RNA
Rfam family: Bacterial small subunit ribosomal RNA
Source: RNAcentral
UGGGGGAUAUUGCACAAUGGGCGAAAGCCUGAUGCAGCGACGCCGCGUGGGGGAUGAAGGCCUUCGGUUUGUAAACUUCUUUUGCUCUGAACAAGGCAUGCUAAUGGGUGUGUUGAGUGUAGGGGUUGAUUAGCGCCGGCUAACUACGUGCCAGCAGCCGCGGUAAUACGUAGGGCGCGAGCGUUGUCCGGAAUUAUUGGGCGUAAAGGGCUUGUAGGUGGCUGGUUGCGUCUGUCGUGAAAGCUCAUGGCUUAACUGGGGGGUUGCGGUGGGUACGGGCUGGCUUGAGUGCAGUAGGAGAGGCUGGAAUUCCUGGUGUAGCGGUGGAAUGCGGAGAUAUCAGGAGGAAUACCGGUGGCGAAGGCGGGUCUCUGGGCUGUUACUGACACUGAGGAGCGAAAGCAUGGGGAGCGAACAGG